CGCGUAGGCGGUUAAAUAAGUCAGAUGUGAAAGCCCCGGGCUCAACCUGGGAACUGCAUUUGAAACUGUUUAGCUAGAGUGUGGUAGAGGAGAGUGGAAUUUCAGGUGUAGCGGUGAAAUGCGUAGAUAUCUGAAGGAACAUCAGUGGCGAGGGCGGCUCUCUGGACCAACACUGACGCUGAGGUGCGAAAGCGUGGGUAGCAAACG
RNAcentral lists this ribosomal RNA (207 nucleotides) under uncultured bacterium. RNAcentral describes it as "partial 16S ribosomal RNA". It matches the Rfam family "Bacterial small subunit ribosomal RNA", at positions 568 to 774 of the family's 1533-position model. The record is from RNAcentral.